AUGGUCUGGGUAACCAUGGUAGGUAGGCCUCCUGCCGGCGACCCUGCCCCUCUUCGCCGCCAGCUUUCCAGAUCCACAAAAAUUGUUUAUUCAAGGCUAUUCUGGAUUUCUCGAGUCGAGGCUUCUUUUUCUGCUCCAUGCCCCCCUAUAAAUUUGAGCCACAUUGUUGGGUCAGCUAUCUCCAAGGUUCUAUCUGGAAGAGCAUCCUCAGCAAACUUAUGCAGAUCCAAUGAAUCUCCGAAUGUGCCUUCUGUUGGGCUCCUUCCGGUAAACAUCUCAAGCAGCAAUAUGCCAAGGCUAUAA
RNAcentral lists this ribosomal RNA (303 nucleotides) under Triticum aestivum (bread wheat). RNAcentral's name for it is "partial small subunit ribosomal RNA". The record is from RNAcentral. Lineage: Eukaryota; Viridiplantae; Streptophyta; Magnoliopsida; Poales; Poaceae.